CCCUGACAGGUUUGUACCUGACAUCAGCCAAGACAGGAGUAUGAAAUG
RNAcentral lists this non-coding RNA (48 nucleotides) under unclassified sequences. RNAcentral describes it as "Mu-gpT-DE RNA". It matches the Rfam family "Mu-gpT-DE RNA". The record is from RNAcentral.